UACGGGGGGAGCAAGCGUUGUUCGGAUUUACUGGGCGUAAAGGGCGCGUAGGCGGUCAGCACAAGUCAGUUGUGAAAUCUCCGGGCUUAACUCGGAAAGGUCAACUGAUACUGUGCGACUAGAGUGCGGAAGGGGCAACUGGAAUUCUCGGUGUAGCGGUGAAAUGCGUAGAUAUCGGGAGGAACACCAGUGGCGAAGGCGGCUUCCUGGCCUGUUCUUGACGCUGAGGCGCGAAAGCUAGGGGAGCAAACGGG
RNAcentral lists this ribosomal RNA (254 nucleotides) under uncultured bacterium. Its description in RNAcentral is "partial 16S ribosomal RNA". It matches the Rfam family "Bacterial small subunit ribosomal RNA", at positions 524 to 776 of the family's 1533-position model. The record is from RNAcentral.